UGGCCGGGCGUGGUGGUGGGAGCCUGUAGUCCCAGCUACUCAGGAGGCUGAG
MicroRNA precursor from Chlorocebus sabaeus (green monkey), 52 nucleotides. Lineage: Eukaryota; Metazoa; Chordata; Mammalia; Primates; Cercopithecidae. The record is from Ensembl.